GGAUGAACGCUAGCGGCAGGCUUAAUACAUGCAAGUCGAACGAGAUUUCCCGGUUCGCUGGGGAUGAAAGUGGCGCACGGGUGCGUAACGCGUAUGCAACCUACCUUUAACUGGGAGAUAGCCCCGAGAAAUCGGGAUUAAUACCCCAUAACAUAACGAUCAGGCAUCUGGUUGUUAUCAAAGUUCCGGCGGUUAAAGAUGGGCAUGCGUGGCAUUAGCUAGUUGGUGAGGUAACGGCUCACCAAGGCUACGAUGCCUAGGGGACCUGAGAGGGUGAUCCCCCACACUGGUACUGAGACACGGACCAGACUCCUACGGGAGGCAGCAGUAAGGAAUAUUGGGCAAUGGACGCAAGUCUGACCCAGCCAUGCCGCGUGCAGGAUGACGGCCCUAUGGGUUGUAAACUGCUUUUGUACGGGAAGAACCCCUUCGAUUCUUCGGAGGCUGACGGUACUGUACGAAUAAGCAUCGGCUAACUCCGUGCCAGCAGCCGCGGUAAUACGGAGGAUGCAAGCGUUAUCCGGAUUUAUUGGGUUUAAAGGGUGCGCAGGCGGAAUGGUAAGUCAGUGGUGAAAUCUCCCGGCUCAACCGGGAAACUGCCGUUGAUACUGCCGUUCUAGAGUACAGUUGGGGUGGGCGGAAUGUGUCAUGUAGCGGUGAAAUGCUUAGAUAUGACACAGAACACCGAUCGCGAAGGCAGCUCACCAAGUUGUAACUGACGCUCAUGCACGAAAGCGUGGGGAGCAAACA
Molecule: ribosomal RNA, 750 nt
Filed under: uncultured bacterium
Lineage: Bacteria
Description: bacterial SSU rRNA
Rfam family: Bacterial small subunit ribosomal RNA
Source: RNAcentral